This 431-nucleotide ribosomal RNA is filed under the name uncultured bacterium. RNAcentral's name for it is "partial 16S ribosomal RNA". It matches the Rfam family "Bacterial small subunit ribosomal RNA", at positions 32 to 505 of the family's 1533-position model. The record is from RNAcentral.
AACCAACGCUGGCGGCAUGCCUAACACAUGCAAGUCGAACGAGACCUUCGGGUCUAGUGGCGCACGGGUGCGUAACGCGUGGGAACCUGCCCUUAGGUUCGGAAUAACUCCCCGAAAGGGGUGCUAAUACCGGAUAAUGUCUUCGGACCAAAGAUUUAUCGCCUUUGGAUGGGCCCGCGUUGGAUUAGCUAGUUGGUAGGGUAAAAGCCUACCAAGGCGACGAUCCAUAGCUGGUCUGAGAGGAUGAUCAGCCACACUGGGACUGAGACGCGGCCCAGACUCCUCCGGGGGGCAGCGGUGGGGAAUAGUGGACAGGGGGCGAAAGCCUGGUCCAGCGAUCCCGCGUGGGGGUUGAGGGCUUAGGGGUUGAAAGGCUCUUUUACCCGGAUGAAUAGGCCGUAACCGGGAAGAAAAGGCCCCGGCUACCCCCG